This 78-nucleotide transfer RNA is filed under the name candidate division MSBL1 archaeon SCGC-AAA382A20. RNAcentral's name for it is "tRNA-OTHER". It matches the Rfam family "tRNA". From Rfam's summary of the family: Transfer RNA (tRNA) molecules are approximately 80 nucleotides in length. The record is from RNAcentral. Lineage: Archaea; Methanobacteriati; Methanobacteriota.
GCGGCCGUGGUAUAGUGGGUGAUUACUCUAGGACUCCCCACUCUAGCGAACCGGGUUCGAAUCCCGGCGGCCGCACCA